GACCCUUCUUUAAUGCAUUUUAUGCAUUAUAAACACCUUCGGACAUUCCGAAGCCUACACACUCGACGAAUAGUCGAUUCUAGUCGAAGUCUAAUCCUCGAGUUUCGAGAUUUCACUUCCUUACACACACCCCGCCCCGAAACCACUACCAAUUUGACACAAUUCGGGCGCGCCGAGCGGACCGCCGAACGGACAGCACCUCCCCUGUCCGCCCAAGGCUCACAACAAGAAUGUGUACAAGAAAUUCCCAGGUAUUUAAAUUCUAAACAUACACAUUCAACGAGGCACAAUUAGUGCCAGCAACUACAAGAGCAGGUAAUUUACAGGAAUAACAUGUGAAAUAAAGAGAGUACUUUACUAACUAUUACAAUAGUUCGCAUCUUUUCAUUUACAUCAUUUUCUUUAAAUGAUUACAUCAUUCAUCCAAAAUACAUAGCUCUCCAAAUCCUCACUUACAAUGAAUCUCUCAAAUACAUAUGUGUGCUAAUGCAAAAAGGAAAGCUACUAUACUACCA
Molecule: long non-coding RNA, 515 nt
Filed under: Ananas comosus (pineapple)
Lineage: Eukaryota; Viridiplantae; Streptophyta; Magnoliopsida; Poales; Bromeliaceae
Description: long non-coding RNA (ACOM_LNC003570)
Source: RNAcentral